CAAGCCACUAGCUUUCUCCCAUUAGCAUUUUUAGUCAACUCUCAACGAGUCUGCCUGCAAAGGCAUGUGCUUACAGAAUAAGAGCUGGAUUGUACUGCUUGGGAGAGCUGGAGCUCUUUACUUGUGAUUACUAGGGAGAAAUGUGCUGAGGAGGUGGCUGAGGUCUUUGGAAGGAGAAAGCUUUUAUAGGAAGUGAAUUCCCCCCUACCCCAGGAGGGGGGCCAUCCCUCUCUGCCUUGCCAGUGUGCCAUGCUAACUCUCAUUAGAGAUUGAGAAGCUAAUGGCUGGCUCAGACAGGUGAGAGAAGAAUAGAAUGGUGGGAAAACAGGCUUCCUGAGCUGUUAGUUUGUGUAGUUGCUGAAAAAGAUGUGAACCCUGCAUCCCAACUUCCUGACAAUUCUGAAUUUCCAUUUGGAG
RNAcentral lists this long non-coding RNA (417 nucleotides) under Phascolarctos cinereus (koala). Its description in RNAcentral is "lncRNA (ENSPCIG00000020524.2)". The record is from RNAcentral. Lineage: Eukaryota; Metazoa; Chordata; Mammalia; Diprotodontia; Phascolarctidae.